RNAcentral lists this ribosomal RNA (253 nucleotides) under uncultured bacterium. RNAcentral's name for it is "partial 16S ribosomal RNA". It matches the Rfam family "Bacterial small subunit ribosomal RNA", at positions 524 to 776 of the family's 1533-position model. The record is from RNAcentral.
UACAGAGGGUGCGAGCGUUAAUCGGAAUUACUGGGCGUAAAGCGUGCGUAGACGGUUAUUUAAGUCGGAUGUGAAAGCCCCGGGCUCAACCUGGGAACUGCGUCUGAUACUGGAUGGCUUGAAUCCGGGAGAGGGAUGCAGAAUUCCAGGUGUAGCGGUGAAAUGCGUAGAUAUCUGGAGGAACACCGGUGGCGAAGGCGGCAUCCUGGACCGGUAUUGACACUGAGGCGCGAAAGCCAGGGGAGCAAACGGG